RNAcentral lists this transfer RNA (75 nucleotides) under Lachnospiraceae bacterium. RNAcentral describes it as "tRNA-Pro". It matches the Rfam family "tRNA". Rfam says of the family: Transfer RNA (tRNA) molecules are approximately 80 nucleotides in length. Their secondary structure includes four short double-helical elements and three loops (D, anti-codon, and T loops). The record is from RNAcentral. Lineage: Bacteria; Bacillati; Bacillota; Clostridia; Lachnospirales; Lachnospiraceae.
CGAGGUGUGGCUCAGUUUGGCUAGAGCACCGUGUUAGGGACGCGGGGGCCGCUGGUUCGAAUCCAGUCACCUCGA